UACAGAGGGUGCGAGCGUUGUCCGGAAUUACUGGGCGUAAAGGGCGCGUAGGCGGCCCGAUAAGUCGGGGGUGAAAUUCCGUGGCUUAACCACGGAACUGCCUUCGAGACUGUCAGGCUCGAGCACGGUAGAGGCAGAUGGAAUUCCCGGUGUAGCGGUGGAAUGCGUAGAGAUCGGGAAGAACACCAGUGGCGAAGGCGGUCUGCUGGGCCGUUGCUGACGCUGAGGCGCGACAGCGUGGGGAGCAAACAGGAUUAGAUACCCUGGUAGUCCACGCCGUAAACGAUGGGCACUAGGCGUCGGGGGGAGCGACCCUCCCGGUGCCGUAGUUAACACUCUAAGUGCCCCGCCUGGGGAGUACGGCCGCAAGGCUGAAACUCAAAG
RNAcentral lists this ribosomal RNA (384 nucleotides) under uncultured bacterium. Its description in RNAcentral is "bacterial SSU rRNA". It matches the Rfam family "Bacterial small subunit ribosomal RNA", at positions 524 to 906 of the family's 1533-position model. The record is from RNAcentral.